AUUGAACGCUGGCGGCAGGCCUAACACAUGCAAGUCGAGCGGAUGAAGGGAGCUUGCUCCUGGAUUCAGCGGCGGACGGGUGAGUAAUGCCUAGGAAUCUGCCUGGUAGUGGGGGAUAACGUCCGGAAACGGGCGCUAAUACCGCAUACGUCCUGAGGUAGAAAGUGGGGGAUCUUCGGACCUCACGCUAUCAGAUGAGCCUAGGCCGGAUUAGCUAGUUGGUGGGGUAAAGGCCUACCAAGGCGACGAUCCGUAACUGGUCUGAGAGGAUGAUCAGUCACACUGGAACUGAGACACGGUCCAGACUCCUACGGGAGGCAGCAGUGGGGAAUAUUGGACAAUGGGCGAAAGCCUGAUGCAGCCAUGCCGCGUGUGUGAAGAAGGUCUUCGGAUUGUAAAGCACUUUAAGUUGGGAGGAAGGGCAGUAAGUUAAUACCUUGCUGUUUUGACGUUACCAACAGAAUAAGCACCGGCUAACUUCGUG
Molecule: ribosomal RNA, 484 nt
Filed under: uncultured bacterium
Lineage: Bacteria
Description: partial 16S ribosomal RNA
Rfam family: Bacterial small subunit ribosomal RNA
Source: RNAcentral